RNAcentral lists this ribosomal RNA (504 nucleotides) under uncultured bacterium. RNAcentral describes it as "partial 16S ribosomal RNA". It matches the Rfam family "Bacterial small subunit ribosomal RNA", at positions 29 to 523 of the family's 1533-position model. The record is from RNAcentral.
AUUGAACGCUGGCGGCAGGCCUAACACAUGCAAGUCGGACGGUAGCACAGAGAGCUUGCUCUCGGGUGACGAGUGGCGGACGGGUGAGUAAUGUCUGGGGAUCUGCCCGAUAGAGGGGGAUAACCACUGGAAACGGUGGCUAAUACCGCAUAACGUCGCAAGACCAAAGAGGGGGACCUUCGGGCCUCUCACUAUCGGAUGAACCCAGAUGGGAUUAGCUAGUAGGCGGGGUAACGGCCCACCUAGGCGACGAUCCCUAGCUGGUCUGAGAGGAUGACCAGCCACACUGGAACUGAGACACGGUCCAGACUCCUACGGGAGGCAGCAGUGGGGAAUAUUGCACAGUGGGCGCAAGCCUGAUGCAGCCAUGCCGCGUGUAUGAAGAAGGCCUUCGGGUUGUAAAGUACUUUCAGCGGGGAGGAAGGCGAUGUGGUUAAUAACCGCAUUGAUUGACGUUACCCGCAGAAGAAGCACCGGCUAACUCCGUGCCAGCAGCAGCCGCCG